GGGCGUAAGCGCGCGCAGGCGGUUUCUUAAGUCUGAUGUGAAAGCCCCCGGCUCAACCGGGGAGGGUCAUUGGAAACUGGGGAACUUGAGUGCAGAAGAGGAGAGUGGAAUUCCACGUGUAGCGGUGAAAUGCGUAGAGAUGUGGAGGAACACCAGUGGCGAAGGCGACUCUCUGGUCUGUAACUGACGCUGAGGCGCGAAAGCGUGGGGAGCGAACAGGAUUAGAU
Molecule: ribosomal RNA, 227 nt
Filed under: Bacillus licheniformis
Lineage: Bacteria; Bacillati; Bacillota; Bacilli; Caryophanales; Bacillaceae
Description: partial 16S ribosomal RNA
Rfam family: Bacterial small subunit ribosomal RNA
Source: RNAcentral